ACGCUUCUAGAACAUUUGGUGGAAGGACCGUUAGGCCAUAAAUGAAUCCUCAGGUACUCCGGCAAUAUACAUUGUCGCCAAGGUCGCCAUGUGUUUCCCUCAUCGGUCCAUCGGGUUCGAAGUAUCCCGAUCGGGACACCAUCCUCCCCGCGGUGUGUGUGUGUGUCCUGGUUUCUGACGUGAUUUACGUUACACAUGCAUCCUUAGUCCAUGCCGGGCGCUUACAGAAAACGCAUAUAUAUGUCCUUAGUCCACACCGAUAGCUUUCGCCAGACACCUAUAUGCGCCCACAGCACUCAAAGGGUUAACAAUCAGGACUCUCAAGUCCCGUAAAUGUCUUUGAUCCUUCGAGCCGGAUUAUGUGUCAAGUGAAAAGUCCACACCAGUGACACCCACUACCAUACAGUGCCACGUGAAUCCAUCACGUCCAAGCUGGACAAUCAUUAUCACAACGAGUUCCAACAAGUUCAACCUCAGACUCGCAUCAUUACGAGGGUCAACUACACCUAUACCACGAAGUACAUCUUGCGAAAAGCCACGCCUUGUAACAAGCAACAACUUGCCGCUGGAGCAAGCCUGCGUCGAAGCAGUUCCAGUUUCGCAACAACAAGGUAAGCUCGUUCUUUUUAUCGCCAAUCGACUAUCCGCUGCAACAAUAGCAACCGCAGACGACAUUAGCUCCGUGCGUCGGAGAUGAGGCUACCAAGUCGGCCGCUUCACGCUCGUAUCGAAACGACUAAACGAAUAAUCAAGAUAAGCCGCCUUAUUAUUCUACCAGCUGAACGACGCUUAGAAUUUGUUUCAACGUCAUCCAAAAGAGAAGCUAGAAGAUUUAGACGAGGAGGAAUACGCGCGCGUCCCCGAUAUAACGAACCAGCAUUAUGAUAUAGUAAUUGGGUAAAACAUCUCAUAGAUAGCGCACAAUCAGCAUCGCCGUCGAUAUCGACAAACUGCGUAUCAAUGUCUGUGUACGUGCUGGCUGCUCUACUUUCCAAGGAAAGAAACAGAAUGACGGCAAAGGCGGUGUGAACGUGGAAUGAAGAAAAUAACUAUGAGUGAAGCUAACCGUGGUUACAAAAGUUUUCUGUUUGACUAGGGUUUCCCAUCAAUCGCUACUACUACUAAACCAACCGAACCUACUGAACUUGUUCGAGUUUAUUGUUAUCUUGCAACAACCCUCCACUACCAAUAAAAAUACCAACAAAAAUAGGCGUGAAAUGCCAGGAUUAUUUAGACAGCCACGCCGCGAGACAAACAAGAUAUACAUCUUGACUUUUUUAAGUAGCACAAUAUAUUUUUGAUAUCAUAGCAUUGAUUUGUAGAUUUCGGUUUACAAUGGUGUUGUCAUUUUUUGAGGGUGGCAUUGAAAAAUAAUGCACGGUUAUCUUUUCAUAGCAACUUAUUAGGAAAAUCAAUCUGAAGUAUAAUAUGGCCUUCAAAAAUAACUAAAUAAAUUUCCACUGUAUGCUCAAAUAAAAAUGCAACUUCGAUUAACUGCAAAUUAAAAAAAAAUUUUUUUACGCAUCAUCUAGCAACGUAACUCUUUAAACUUUCCAAAAAACUUCAGAUCUGUUUUUACGAGUACUUGAAUGUUUUCGCGAGUCAGUGUAUAUGUAUGCGAAAUCACAGGAAAACAAAUGUUUUCGACUUUCUAAAUCCGAACAAAAGAUUUUUCAAUUGGAAAACAGAUGGUAUUAUUGUCUCACACAAAAUGGAGAACAUUUCGUAAACAUGUUAUGAAGAUCGUGCAAAACUAUUGCAAUUUUUUGCGCAAUAUAAAGGUAGCGUAAAAAUGGAAUUGUUAUUGGUUUUACCUUAUUAUCUAAUAACGAACAGAAAAAUUAAAGAAAUCUCAUUUGUAGCACAAGUCUUUCUCGCGUGUAGAAAAGCUGUAAUAAAUUUAUAUUUUAUUAAAUAUCUUUUAAGAUCAAGUCUGAUAAAAAGAAUGUUCCGUAUAAAAAUUCCAUUAUUCAGUUAAUUGCAUUUUAGCGUGUUCGUAUAUACCCAAAAUCAAUUGGAGUAGGAGACCACUUUACGCGCCGCUUACAAUAGCAAACAGUGCUAGGUAUCACGGGUACCUGCACGAGUCGCCAAUCUACUAAAUGGACGUGAUUGAACGACCCACUGAUAUCAGUAUCACGUCUCGACCAGGUCUAGUCGACCAAUUAUAGUCGACUCGACCAUAGUUGCUCUGACAGUAUAAACGUGACAUUCGAUGCUUUUUCGUGUCCCACGUUUUCCAGGCCAUCCGACCUCCGAUACCGAUUCAGCAUAGUAGUGGUUUGAAUUGACUAAACUAAAUUUUCAUUUUAAUUACUUUCUACUAUAUUCAACCGCAUUAUGAUAUAAGUGUUUAGAACUCCAAUUUUAACGCUCCAAUUUUUAUUUUGAUCUUCCAAUUGCAACAAUUGCUCAUUUUUCACUCGAUUGUAUGAAUUAAAGUAUAAGCUUGUUAAAUAGUAAUUUCUUAAAUGCAAAACCUUCUUUUUGCUAUUAGAAUACUACGAGUCAAAUUUUACUGCAAAAUUUUCCAACCAAAACAUUUUUAGAAAUUAAGAAAAUAUAAAAGGUUUUCGCUUGCAAUUUCCUUGGAAUCUAAUAUUACAAUUAACUAUACAUGUGUAUAUUAAAUCUUACGCUAUGUGUUAAUUCAUUUCUCGAUUUUUUAAUAAACUUUAUAAUGAUUGUCCUGUGUCAAUCAACGAUAAUUAUGGUAAGAAGCUUGCCCUCCUCACUGAUUUCGAUGAUUUUGUAAUAUUUUGUUGCGGAUAUGAUUCUGAAAAACUUUUUCCUAUGCAUGUAAUUACUGGUUGCAUAAAAUAAAAGGUAACCCGAACCUAAUUCUUAUCUCUUGUUUAUAGUACGUAUGUAUAAAUGAGAGUUAAGUAUAUCGCCGAUCCUUUUGACAAAGACUCAGUUCAUUACAGUCUGUAAAAGAUAUUUGUUAUCAGCCAAUGAAAAAUAAAUAUCGUCAAUGUUUUGGAUUUGGAGUUGAGUUACCUUUGUCAAUUAAUUCCACCAAAUGUCCAAAUUGGACAAAUUGUGAAUUUUAAUAAAUAAAUAAAUAAAAAAAAAAAACCUUUGUCAAUUCGGCCAACGCUUGCGUGAAAUAGUAACAGAUUAAUUGUAAAAAUAAUUACAAAUUUAAUAAUGAAUAAUGACAAAUAUUUUCGCAAUUACUCACACACGAGACUGUUAGUAGCGAUAGUAACAAAUAUAUAAAAACAUAAAAUGUAUAUUAUUCAUACACUAUUUACUUUGUAUUGCGUCACAAGUCGAAACACUUGCAUGUGCAGUUGUGAGCGAGAUUUCCGUAGAAGCUGUUUAUUUAGAUUUGAAAAGUAUAAUAUUUAGAUAAGGAGAUCGAUGGUUGAUGGAUGAUAACAGAUCGCCAAGCUGCGAACGAAGCGACGUACGUGUUGGCUAUGCUGCGAGUCUGUCACGGAUACACACACAUGGGCAGGAUUUAAUGUCUAGCAGACUUUUACCAGUAUCUCGGCAACUAAAGUUGACUGCCGUUUAUGUGCGCAGGAAAUAAUUAUUCAAAAUGUAGAGCUUCGCAAUAUAUUUCAAAAUCAAUGAAAUCGAAGAGAAAAUGGCUUUUUUACAAGUUUACUUUUAUUUCUUAUUUAUUUCAU
Bombus terrestris (buff-tailed bumblebee) is the source of this 3638-nucleotide long non-coding RNA. RefSeq lists it as uncharacterized. The transcript has 3 exons. The record is from RefSeq and is a predicted model, not a curated record. Lineage: Eukaryota; Metazoa; Arthropoda; Insecta; Hymenoptera; Apidae.